RNAcentral lists this ribosomal RNA (497 nucleotides) under uncultured bacterium. RNAcentral's name for it is "partial 16S ribosomal RNA". It matches the Rfam family "Bacterial small subunit ribosomal RNA", at positions 29 to 507 of the family's 1533-position model. The record is from RNAcentral.
AGUGAACGCUGGCGGUGUGCCUAACACAUGCAAGUCGAGCGAAAAGACAGUAAGCUCUUUCUCCUACCGUUAGCGACUGCCGGACGAGUGACGCGUACAUCACCAUCUUCUUUUUCGGGGAUGAUAUCGUGGGGACACUUACACUAACGCCUCAUAUGACGUACCGCUUAAUUCAAUAGUUCAUCAGACCUUUCGCGUUAGUAUUAGCUGAUUUCGGGCUGGAUUAGCUAGUUGGUAAGGUAACGGCUCACCAAGGCUACGAUGCGUAGCUGACCUGAGAGGGUGAUCAGCCACACUGGAACUGAGACACGGUCCAGACUCCUACGGGAGGCAGCAGUGGGGAAUAUUGGACAAUGGGCGCAAGCCUGACCCAGCAACACCGCGUGAGUGAAGAAGGUCUUCGGAUUGUAAAGCCCUGUUGUUGGGAAAGAAAAGCAGUAGGAUAAACCACGGAUGUUUUGACGGUACCCAAAGAGUAAGCAACGGCUAACUUCGUG